This 1087-nucleotide long non-coding RNA is filed under the name Spirodela polyrhiza (greater duckweed). RNAcentral describes it as "long non-coding RNA (SPOL_LNC002426)". The record is from RNAcentral. Lineage: Eukaryota; Viridiplantae; Streptophyta; Magnoliopsida; Alismatales; Araceae.
ACGUGAUGGUCUUGCCGGUAAGAGUCUUUACGAAGAUCUGCAUCUGAUGGAACAUAUGACGACUGAAAGGUUAAACACAUGAUUUUAAAAGAAAAGGACGCGCUCAAGAUAAAUAAAAUCCACGAUUAAAGACAGAAUAAGGCGACCACAAAUCAGGAUCUAUUAACCACAAAUUGAUAGAACAAAAGUUUUAAACGGGGAACAUGCCCCUUACUUAAGUACGUUUUCAAAACAUAAUUAUAAUUCACAGAGGAUUACACAGAAAACAAGAGGUGCAACACAUGGAUCGGACAGAUCACCGUUAAGAAAUAACACACCGAAAUCUAUAAAGAAGGAAUACAUCACCUUAACAAGCAGGGGUUUCAAACCGAAAAUUAAUUUCUAGAUAAAGGUGAGCCAAGACUAAAAAGAACAUCCACCGAUGUUUGAAAGAGGUAACGAAUAUCUCAUCCAUAUCAAGAGAGAUCUGGACAGAACACGAUCAUGGACCAAAUCAACUCGAGAAAUACAUAAAACCGAAGGGGAACCGCAAUGAAUACUUCAAAUCCGGAUCUAGAAAAACCGGGAGGAGUUCUCAAAACAUAAAUUCAUAGCAUGAGAGAGCACGCGCAUCUGGACAAAGCCUGCAUAAGGACCUCGACAGACUUUCUCCUCUGCAACAGACACAGCCUUAACCAAGGGAGAUCGGCUCAAAUCCAAAGGAUGCAUCCUAACCAAAGCAAAAACCUAGGGAUGAUGCGAUAUCCGCAGAAAAAAACUCAAAAACGAAGAACAGAAAUGAUCAAUAGACCGAACAAAGUCUUAACCAUAGAAGAUCGCCUCACAUCAAAAGGAUACAUCCUUUUCAUGCGAAAAUGAACAAAGAGAUCGAACACAACCUUUAACAUAUAUGAUCGGCUCAGAUCCAAACGAGGAUAUCCUAAACUAAUAAAAACAGCCAAGGCAUGAUGCAACCGAAGAUCCGCAGAAAAAAAAACAAAACAAAAGAAGAACAAAAACGAUCAAAGAGAUCUGCUCCUUACCUUGGGAGAGACGACGCGCUUCCUCGCUUCUUUCACGGAGAGGAAAACAAAGAGGAUAUGUGCGA